Molecule: ribosomal RNA, 409 nt
Filed under: uncultured Gammaproteobacteria bacterium
Lineage: Bacteria; Pseudomonadati; Pseudomonadota; Gammaproteobacteria
Description: bacterial SSU rRNA
Rfam family: Bacterial small subunit ribosomal RNA
Source: RNAcentral
AUGGGCGCAAGCCUGAUCCCUCCAUGCCGCGUGUGUGAAGAAGGCUCUANGGUUGUAAAGCACUUUCAGUAGGGAGGAAGGCCAGAGUGUUAAUAGCGCUUUGGAUUGACGUUACCUACAGAAGCAGCACCGGCUAACUCCGUGCCAGCAGCCGCGGUAAUACGGAGGGUGCAAGCGUUAAUCGGAAUUACUGGGCGUAAAGCGCGCGUAGGCGGUUUGUUAAGUGUGAUGUGAAAGCCCAGGGCUCAACCUUGGAACUGCAUCACAUACUGGCAAGCUAGAGUACGGUAGAGGGGGGUAGAAUUCCAUGUGUAGCGGUGAAAUGCGUAGAGAUGUGGAGGAAUACCAGUGGCGAAGGCGGCCCCCUGGAUCGAUACUGACGCUGAGGUGCGAAAACCUGGGGAGCAAA